RNAcentral lists this transfer RNA (66 nucleotides) under Marmota monax (woodchuck). RNAcentral's name for it is "tRNA.Pro". The record is from RNAcentral. Lineage: Eukaryota; Metazoa; Chordata; Mammalia; Rodentia; Sciuridae.
AGAUGUAGCUCAGUGGUAGAACUCUAGCCUAGGAUGCACAAGACUUGGGUUUGAUCCCCAACACUG